This is a non-coding RNA of Tachysurus vachellii, 486 nucleotides long. NCBI's taxonomy places the organism in Eukaryota, Metazoa, Chordata, Actinopteri, Siluriformes, Bagridae. The record is from the annotation of a RefSeq genome assembly.
AUGAUCUCUACAUCCCUACUGCUGCUGCUGCUGGCAGCCGUACACUGUGUUCACAGUGUUGAGCUGAUCCAGACCGGAUCCACAGUAUUAACUCCUGGUCAGUCACUGACUCUGACCUGUAAAGUGUCUGGAUAUUCAUUAACUGAUAGCAGCUAUUGUACAGACUGGAUACGACAACCUGCAGGAAAAACUCUGGAAUGGAUCGGAGGUAUAUGUGGUGAUGGUAACACUUACUACAGUGAGAAACUGAAAAGCAGGUUUCAGGUUUCCUUAGACACGUCCAGCAGCACAGUGACAUUAACAGGACAGAACAUGCAGACUGAAGACACAGCUGUGUAUUACUGCGCUCGGCGUGUAUCUGCAGGUGACUGGUUUGAGUGCCCAGGAUUCUGCUGUUUAUUAAAAAUCUCAGAUGUGGUCAAAGAGAAAAGUGUAUUCAAUGUAGAGGCCAUUUUCACAAGAUCUGCAGGUGGCGCUACAGCUUAA